UACGGAGGAUGCGAGCGUUGUCCGGAUUUAUUGGGUUUAAAGGGUGCGUAGGCGGACUGUCAAGUCAGCGGUAAAAUUGAGAGGCUCAACCUCUCCCCGCCGUUGAAACUGGUGGUCUUGAGUGGAUGAGAAGUACGCGGAAUGCGUGGUGUAGCGGUGAAAUGCAUAGAUAUCACGCAGAACUCCGAUUGCGAAGGCAGCGUACCGGCAUCCAACUGACGCUGAGGCACGAAAGCGUGGGGAUCAAACAGG
RNAcentral lists this ribosomal RNA (252 nucleotides) under uncultured bacterium. RNAcentral describes it as "partial 16S ribosomal RNA". It matches the Rfam family "Bacterial small subunit ribosomal RNA", at positions 524 to 776 of the family's 1533-position model. The record is from RNAcentral.